Molecule: long non-coding RNA, 503 nt
Organism: Eptesicus fuscus (big brown bat)
Lineage: Eukaryota; Metazoa; Chordata; Mammalia; Chiroptera; Vespertilionidae
Exons: 2
Source: RefSeq, a predicted model, not a curated record
UGUUUGUUUUUGUAAUUUGUGGACAAAAACUACAUACAGGUGCUAAAAAUAAAGCCUCUUUUGCAACCCAGAACUCAUUGUUCAGUAUGAGUUUUGAUACAUAUAAGAAGGAACAUGAUACCUAAAACACUGGUUCUAGGACUGGACUGUAGGAUUAAUAAUUUAAAAAAGCAAAGAAUACAAGGGAAAUAUCAACUAUACUGCUUUAGUAUUUUAAUUUUGCUGUUGAUAACACUAACGAAGUUGACUUUUUUUUACUAGGGUUUUAUCUUGAACACAAUAUCUGGAUUUAUAUCUUACUCUUUAGGAGUGAAGAUUUGCACUUACUCAUGGUUAGCGGGUGUCUGAAAUGAAAAAAACCAGGCAGAUCCAUCUGCUCAGACCCUAACCAUGGCCCUAAAGUAAAUUGCUUGAGGAAAUUAGUUCCCAACGAUUAUAGGUGCAGAGUUUUUGAAGCAUGUCCAUAUUCAAGUGUAGAUCAAAGAAGCUCAACUAAAAGAAUU